Molecule: ribosomal RNA, 469 nt
Filed under: uncultured bacterium
Lineage: Bacteria
Description: partial 16S ribosomal RNA
Rfam family: Bacterial small subunit ribosomal RNA
Source: RNAcentral
GACGAACGCUGGCGGCGUGCUUAACACAUGCAAGUCGAACGGAAAGGCCCUGCUUGCAGGGUGCUCGAGUGGCGAACGGGUGAGUAACACGUGGGUGAUCUGCCCCUUACCUUGGGAUAAGCCUGGGAAACUGGGUCUAAUACUGGAUAGGACCAUGCUGUAGGUGGUGUGGUGGAAAGAUUAGUUUCGGUAAGGGAUGAGCUCGCGGCCUAUCAGCUUGUUGGUGGGGUAAUGGCCUACCAAGGCGUCGACGGGUAGCCGGCCUGAGAGGGUGGACGGCCACAUUGGGACUGAGAUACGGCCCAGACUCCUACGGGAGGCAGCAGUGGGGAAUAUUGCACAAUGGGCGCAAGCCUGAUGCAGCGACGCCGCGUGGGGGAUGACGGCCUUCGGGUUGUAAACUCCUUUCAGCCAUGACGAAGCCCUUGUGGUGACGGUAGUGGUAGAAGAAGCACCGGCUAACUACGUG